RNAcentral lists this ribosomal RNA (494 nucleotides) under uncultured bacterium. RNAcentral describes it as "partial 16S ribosomal RNA". It matches the Rfam family "Bacterial small subunit ribosomal RNA", at positions 28 to 507 of the family's 1533-position model. The record is from RNAcentral.
GACGAACGCUGGCGGCGUGCUUAACACAUGCAAGUCGAACGGAAAGGCCUGCUUUCCCUUGUGGAUUGCGGGUGCUCGAGUGGCGAACGGGUGAGUAACACGUGAGUGAUCUGCCCCCAACUUGGGUAUAAGCCUGGGAAACUGGGUCUAAUUCCCGAUAGGACUGCAGGGUGGUGCCUGUGGUGGAAAACGAUUUUCUAGUGGUUGGGGAUGAGCUCGCGGCCUAUCAGCUUGUUGGUGGGGUAAUGGCCUACCAAGGCGGCGACGGGUAGCCGGCCUGAGAGGGUGGACGGCCACAUUGGGACUGAGAUACGGCCCAGACUCCUACGGGAGGCAGCAGUGGGGAAUAUUGCACAAUGGGCGGAAGCCUGAUGCAGCGACGCCGCGUGGGGGAUGACGGCCUUCGGGUUGUAAACUCCUUUCGACCGCGAGGAAGCCACCUGGUUGGAAGGGUGGUGACGGUAGUGGUAGAAGGAGCACCGGCUAACUACGUG